CGCCUCUUGACAAACUAUAAGAGGUCCAGCCUGCCCAGUGACAAAGUUCAACGGCCGCGGUACCCUAACCGUGCGAAGGUAGCAUAAUCACUUGUUCUUUAAAUAAGGACUAGUAUCAACGGCACCACGAGGGCUAUACUGUCUCCUUUCUCCAAUCAGUGAAACUGAUCUCCCCGUGAAGAAGCUGGGAUUAAUAUAUAAGACGAGAAGACCCCAUGGAGCUUUAAACUCAUCAUACACCUCUGUUUAUCUACAUCAUCAUAUCCUAAAAGACUUGUAUGUUAGUUUUAGGUUGGGGGGACCGCGGAGUAUAAAUUAACCUCCACGACAAAUGGGCUAUGCCCUUAUCUAAGAACUACAGUUCUAAGAAUCAACAAACUGAUGUUUAAUGACCCGAAUAAUCGAUCAACGAACCAAGUUACCCUGGGGAUAACAGCGCAAUCUACUUCAAGAGCCCCUAUCGACAAGUAGGUUUACGACCUCGAUGUUGGAUCAGGGUAUCCCAGUGGUGCAGCCGCUACUAAAGGUUCGUUUGUUCAACGAUUAAAACCCU
Molecule: ribosomal RNA, 553 nt
Filed under: Meristogenys sp. a SG-2016
Lineage: Eukaryota; Metazoa; Chordata; Amphibia; Anura; Ranidae
Description: partial 16S ribosomal RNA
Rfam family: Bacterial large subunit ribosomal RNA
Source: RNAcentral